UCCUGGCUUAGGAUGAACGCUGGCGGCGUGCAUAACACAUUCAAGUCGAACGAUGAAGGGACUUCGGUCCUGGAAUAGUGGCGGACGGGUGAGUAACGCGUGAGCAACCUGCCUUGCAUUGGGGGAUAACGUUUGGAAACGAACGCUAAUACCGCAUAACGUAUAAAUAUCGCAUGUUAGAUAUACCAAAGAUUUAUUGAUGCAAGAUGGGCUCGCGUCCGAUUAGAUAGUUGGUGAGGUAACGGCCCACCAAGUCGACGAUCGGUAGCCGGACUGAGAGGUUGAACGGCCACAUUGGAACUGAGAAACGGUCCAGACUCCUACGGGAGGCAGCAGUGGGGAAUAUUGGGCAAUGGGCGAAAGCCUGACCCAGCCGACGCCGCGUGAGGGAAGAAGAUCUUCGGAUUGUAAACCUCUUUCAGCAAGGAAGAAGAAAGUGACGGUACUUGCAGAAGAAGCCACGGCUAACUACGUGCCAGCAGCCGC
RNAcentral lists this ribosomal RNA (486 nucleotides) under uncultured bacterium. RNAcentral describes it as "bacterial SSU rRNA". It matches the Rfam family "Bacterial small subunit ribosomal RNA", at positions 17 to 518 of the family's 1533-position model. The record is from RNAcentral.